RNAcentral lists this transfer RNA (53 nucleotides) under Oreochromis korogwe. RNAcentral's name for it is "partial tRNA-Pro". Lineage: Eukaryota; Metazoa; Chordata; Actinopteri; Cichliformes; Cichlidae. The record is from RNAcentral.
CAAAGAAUAGUUUAAAUUAGAAUCCUAGCUUUGGGAGCUAGGGGUAGACUCCU